Molecule: long non-coding RNA, 321 nt
Organism: Esox lucius (northern pike)
Lineage: Eukaryota; Metazoa; Chordata; Actinopteri; Esociformes; Esocidae
Exons: 3
Source: RefSeq, a predicted model, not a curated record
ACUUAUUUCAACGUCCAUUAACUCCGUCUGUUGUAGAAAAAGGAAAACUAUUCGAAAAGAAAAAAAACUCUUGGAGAAUGUGUGGUCAAACGUGUCGUGAGGCGAGCAGUGGAAUGGAACCCCGAGGAUGAAGGGACAGAGAGAGCGGCAAGGGAAGGCACAGUAACAUAUGAAGCCACGGCUCUUGGAACUCUGAGUGCAUUUAACUCAAGCUAUCAGUGAAGUCUGCCAUGAAAAAUGACUGUAAUAGAAAUCAUUUAAAAUGGGGGGUAAAAAAAACAGAUGUAUCUCAUUGUAUUUUGAAACAUGUUUUAAUGUGUA